UUCUCAGGAUAACUUUGAAAAAUAAUUUUGAAAAGUUCCUGGAAAAUUCACCUGUGUGAUUGUUGUUUUGAGAAGACUGAAGAUCCAUCUAUAUGGAGAGCUGCAGGAGCUACUGGGUGAAGGGUAGUGGACAUGCCGUGUGGAAGCAUGAGUGGCACGAGGGUGACUCAGACUCUGUGCAAGUCUGACAGUGCUGUGAGGCUCCCUACUCUCCCCCCUGCACCCUGCUUGUUGAAUUGCAAAUGAAGUACAGCCAGGAGGACCACCUGCAAACACGGUGUUCAAAGAGUGCAGACCAGCACUACGUUACUGCAAGAUAAUAUGUAGAAAAUGUGCAUAUAAAGCAGAGCGCAUCUCUUGGCACACACAUGAGGUUGCCCAAGCGCUUCAGUCCCGCAAAGUUUCUUCAAAGAAACCCCCAGCCUGGAACUGGUGCGGCUCUGCAGAGGAAAACGCCGCACUGUACUUCAAAGCGGAGAAAAUCUGCAGCUGCCGGGAGCCCGCCUGCCCCAGGAGGUGUCACUGUUGGGACUGGCAGGGUGAGCUCCGGAGCUGCUGUUUGUUUUCUAAAGCCUGCUUUGACCGUGAGGUAGGAAUUGACCUGUGCUACACCUCCCCUCCCCACCCCAGCCAGUCUGGGAAAGGGGAUCGCAGGUAAAAACGAGCUGGUGGCUUCUGUGGAGGUAUGGGCAUGUAUGUAAGUGAGAUAAGAUACUCAGCAUUCAGUUUUUUAUUUUAAGAAAUACCAGUUAAUCCAGGCUGCUUACAGUAGUUGCUUUCCCUGUUCUCAAAGUGCUGAUGAAUCACACCAAAUCGGGGAGGAUAUACCAGGGUAUAGCUUCUACUUUUUUCCUUUUAAUACUGUUUGAGGUGAAGAACAAAUGAAUUUGUGAUGUGAUAUUUGCUGACUAAAUGUUUUUUACUAAAUAAUGCUCUCUCUUUAAAUUUACUAAAUCAUAUGCUUUAAGAAAAAAGUGCAUACUUUUAGAGCACUCAAGGAUUGAAAGUUUUCUAACCAUAAAUAUAAUGCAAAUGAUCUGCGAUGCAGACACACAUACACACACACACACACAUAUAUAUACACAUACACACACAGUAACUUCAAGAUUAGGAAUUUUGAUGAUGAGUAUUCUUUUUCAUGGCAAAAAAAAAAGAAAAAAAAUCUUUGAAAGUUAAACUUAGUUUUUGGAGUAUACUGCAGCCUGAGGUAAGUUGCUUCCAUGGUUAAUUAUAUUCGCCAUCGGUGUUUUGCAUCUUAUUUCUAGUAUCAGUGUCAUUUUAUUCAGCCUUCAGCUUGGGGAUUUGCUACACUAGAUCUUCCAGUUUGCCCAUUUUCUGUGGGUUUAUGUGUCAAGAAGUUCCACACCUCCACAGCAGUAAGGGAAGGUCUAGCAAGUUGCAUCUUCUGCUUGGCAGUUAUUGCUUAUCCUGAUGGUUUGUGGUGGAUAUCUGGACAUAAGAAUUCUAGGAAUUUAAAAAAAAAAAAAAAAAGUCAAUUUAGUUUUAAAUAUCUUCAAACUCUCUUUGUAUUUUUGAGUAAAGCACAAAGCAGAAACUCUUAUUUUCUCUCAAACGAACUGCUGAUGUUUGCAC
Phasianus colchicus (ring-necked pheasant) is the source of this 1593-nucleotide long non-coding RNA. Lineage: Eukaryota; Metazoa; Chordata; Aves; Galliformes; Phasianidae. The record is from Ensembl.